RNAcentral lists this ribosomal RNA (497 nucleotides) under uncultured bacterium. RNAcentral describes it as "partial 16S ribosomal RNA". It matches the Rfam family "Bacterial small subunit ribosomal RNA", at positions 28 to 507 of the family's 1533-position model. The record is from RNAcentral.
GAUGAACGCUGGCGGCGUGCCUAACACAUGCAAGUCGAGCGAACGGACGAGAAGUUUGCUUCGCUGAUGUUAGCCGCGGACGGGUGUGUAACACGUGGAUAACCUACCUAUAUGACUGGGAUAACUUGGGGAAAGCGGAGCUAAUCCCGGAUAAUAUUUUGAACCGCAUGGUUCAAAAGUGAAAGACGGUCUUGCGGUCACUUAUAGAUGGAUCCGCGCUGCAUUAGCUAGUUGGUAAGGUAAAGGGCUACCAAGGCAACGAUGCAUGACCGACCGGCGAGGGUGAUCGGCCACACUGGAGCUUAGACACGGUCCAGACUCCUAAGGGAGGCAGCAGUAGGGAAUCUGCGGCAAAGGGCGGAAGCCUGACGGAACAACGCCGCGUGAGUGAUAGAGGUCUUCGGAGCGUAAAACUCGGUUAUUAGGGAAAAACAUAUUUGUAAGUAACUGUGCACAGCGUGACGGUAACUAAUAAGAAAGCCACGGCUAACUACGUG